GAUGAACGCUGGCGGCGUGCUUAACACAUGCCAGUCGAACGGAAAGGCCCUGCCUUUGUGGGGUGCAGGAGUGGCGAACGGGUGAGUAACACGUGAGUAACCUGCCCACGACGUUGGGAUAACUUCAGGGAACUGGGGACAAUAACCGAUAGGAGCUCCUGCAGCAUGGUGGUGGUUGGAAAGUUUCGGAGGUGGGGGAUGGACUCGUGGCUGAGCAGCUUGUUGGUGGGGUAGUGGCUUACCAAGGCGUUGACGGGUCGCCGGCCUGAGAGGGGGACCGGCCACCUUGGCACUCUGCUACGGCCGAGAGUCCUAGGGGAGGCAGCGGUGGGGAAUCUUGCCCAACGGGCGGACGCCUGAUGCAGGAACGCCGCCUGCGGGAUGACGGCCUUCGGUGUAUAGACAGAUUUGGCCUUAGACGAUGCCUGAGUGACGGUACUUGAUAAGAAAGCAACGGCUAACUACGUG
Molecule: ribosomal RNA, 468 nt
Filed under: uncultured bacterium
Lineage: Bacteria
Description: partial 16S ribosomal RNA
Rfam family: Bacterial small subunit ribosomal RNA
Source: RNAcentral